UACGGUUACUGUCUAAGCUUUAAAUGACGUAGUGUGUCGGUUAGGUCCCCCUGAACCACACACACAUACACACACACGCAUACACACAUACACACACGCAUACACACACGCAUACACACACAUGCCCCCGUUUGAAAAGAGCUGAAUAAAUGAGUCACUACCACAACUCCCACAUCAAUAACAGUUGGACCAAGAUGGCGGCCGAGGGAGAGUACGAGUCGAUCCUGUGCGUUAAACCCGAUGUCAACGUUUACCGUAUCCCGCCGCGAGCUUCAAACCGAGCGUACAGGGCAGCUGAUUGGAAGCUCGAUGCCCCAGACUGGUCAGGUCGAAUGAGGAUCACAGCCAAGGGCAAAGUGGCCUACGUUAAACUGGAGGACAAAAUCUCAGGGGAGCUGUUUGCCCAGGCACCAGUGAAGGAGUAUCCUGGUAUUGCAGUGGAAACCGUCAGCGACUCCAGCCGCUACUUUGUUCUGCGGAUACAGGAUGACAACGGUCGCAGUGCUUUCAUAGGAGUUGGUUUUGGUGACCGAGGGGAUGCUUUUGACUUCAACGUGGCUUUGCAGGAUCAUUUCAAAUGGGUGAAACAAGAGACCGAACUCAGUAAAAAUGCCCAGCUCGGGGAUUCAGGACCAAAGCUGGACUUGGGCUUUAAGGAAGGGCAGACCAUCACACUCAACAUAGGGCAAGGGAAAAAGAGGGAUAAGCCCCGCCCACAAGGAUCGGGUGGAUUUGGACUUCUCCCACCACCACCUGGAGGCAAGAUAGCUCCUCCUCCUUCAUCAGGGUUAUCGAAUCACAACAUAGUCCCACAGACGGGAAGCACAGCGACAGGCUGCCUGCUGGAGCUGGACAGUAGUAACUCCAACACAGUGGUUCAGUCAAACACUAGUUCAGAUCUUCUUUGGGGAGAAUUUUCUGCUCCUGCAAGAUACUUGCCAACUAAACUUGCCAUGUAAAUGGGUUUACUGUGUGUGCGUAAAAGCAGCUAUAGUUGACACUUAAAAUUGUUUACACUCUGUUCCACCUCCGUCUCGACCACAAAACACCGCAAACUGGAUCCAGUUUUGAGUCGUCGAUCGUCGACUGUGACCUGCAUCUCACCUACAUCUGUGUCCGUAGCUUCCUGUGCGUCACACUGAGUUUAACUCCCACACACUGAACCCAAAGCAGAGACAUGACACACCCACAGAGCUGUAGAAUCACUUCACUCAGAGAGAGUGAAGCAUUAAUGCGUUAAAGCCAUCACUCUAUACGAGCCAUCUCAAUGAUAUUUAAGGGCUAUGCGUGACAUCCCGAGUAGCAGGUGUUCCUCUUUCAUGUGUCUGCAUCUCCUCCCCAGUAGGUGGCUCUCCGAGCAGAGCUUCAUUUUGAUCUGGAAUGUUUUUUGACCCUGAAACGCCCCCUGCAGGCACUGCAGAGCACUACAUCAACACACCUUUGCUUGCUGCAUCCUGCUGUGAAUCACACGUAAAGAGCAACACAGAGCAAAGAUUAAGUGAAGGCUGCAGGAGACAAAUUAAAAAAGGAAAAUCGGAUGAUUUCUGUACUGGAACAUAAAUCUUAAUUCUGUAAAUUAUCCACUUUUGCAGCAGUGAUCUGAGUGGCUGUAAUGUUGAUCCUAAAAACAAAGGAACAGUUGAUGACGCAUCAUGAUGAUCAAGGUCAGAAGGAGUUUAUUUUCCUGCUAAUAAGAUGAUAAAUUUACUCUGAAGUGGAGUUUAAGUUACUCUCUCAUUUUCACAUUGUGAAAUGUGGAGCAUUAGAGCUUUGUCAUCAGGGUGGAUGCAGUUACAUGGGUCAAAAUCCUCAUGUGUAUGUCAGCAUUCACUUUUAACAACUUCAGCUCAUAUUUGGUUUGAUUAGAAAUUGAUAAUACAGGUGAAUUUGUACAUGACUCUCCAGACGUGAGGCACAAGUUAAAUUGCUAAUAUCCAAAUUUCCUGAAUAAAUCUUCACAGGAAUCAAUAAUUUUCUAAAUUAUUCACGUGUUUGCAGAAUCGCUGAAUCUGAAAUAGUUGGAUGAGAUGCUGAUGUUAAAAUAUGUGAGUGAUGAGUAAAUUAACGGUUUUCUUUCUGGUGUAUUAAAUGUAAAAACGUAUGUUUACAUUAUAAAAUCACAUUUGUUUACUUCUGGGCGCUUCUUAUUAGCUAAUAUAUUUUGCUGCAAGUCAGAAAAUCAGCUGCCAAAUCCAGACUCUCACUAUUUUUACAUAUUUUGCUGCAUGUUUAAAGAACUACAUAAGCUAAGAAGGAUUAAAUAUUUGCAUGUCCUACUCAGUUCCUAUCAAAUUGGAGGCAGAAAAAUUAAACUGCUCAAAUAUGAUGAACGCUAUUUUUCACCCCAAUUAAUUUUCCUGACCUCGAAUUAACCGACCCAUAAUCUAGUCUGGUUAAAAUGAAUUGGAGCAGAAAUGUAGGACUUAUUAUCAGACAUUUAUAUUUUUUUGUAUUUAUUUUAGAGGGAAACACUGCUGUGAGAGAGGUCAGCCCAAAGCUUAGCUUCACUUUCUAUAUUAAACAUACAGUAAUAAUUUCUAUCAACAGGAUUUAAAGGUUUAGAGGAAAAUGUUUGGUGCACAGACACAUUAUUAAUGGAAAAACAAACUGACAGUUUCUUUGUGCAGUGGAAGAAGUCUGAGUGCUCCAGAUUUUCACUUGCAAUCAGUUUUCACAACCUGCUGGUUUCUGUUAAUGAAACAACCAUAAAGAGUUUUCCACAUGUGCUGCAGUUCACCUGCAAAGACGGCCCUGUGGUGAACUCGUCAUUAUGGAAAUGAGAAUAAAUCUGGCAGAUUUGAAGAAUCUCCAGAUGCAGCACGAGUCCCAAACAGUGGUAACUGGACGAGGUUUGAUGGUCUGAGGAUAAUGUCUGGAAAUUAGAGAAACCGUUUGAUAAUCUGGGAAAUCUACUGUUUGACUUCUUUGCUGAGAGUUAGAUGAGAAGAUUGAUUCUCAUGAAUUUGAAGCAGGUGGUUAGCUUAGCUUAACGACGAAAUAAAUCUGAGACACCUGGCUGUGACAGAAUCCACCUGUAAUACCUCUAAAGGAGACUGAUGAACACACUAUAUUGUGUUAAAUAUUAUUGAGUUUUCUUAAAUGAAGUGGCGAUCCUUUUGUGGCCUAUUUAAAAUGAAUGCUCCUUUUAUUGAAAUGAUCUGUUUGCUGUAAGAGAUUCGAACACAUCAGUCUCAGGAUUUAUGGCGGGGAAAAACAAAAUGAUUGUGUUAAAUCAUCUGAUGAAUGUUUAAUGGCAGCAAAUGAAAUGUUAAUCUUUGUGCUAAGAAGGCUUUGGCUGAUUGUGAACAUGUCUGACAUAAAACAUGCCUUGACUGUGAAAAUGUCUGCAUAGUAUCGCUGUGAUCAGAUCACAUGAGCUGUGUUAAGUUAGCAUUAA
Oreochromis niloticus (Nile tilapia) is the source of this 3397-nucleotide RNA transcript. It is a transcript of the gene named NECAP endocytosis associated 1, with no coding region annotated. The transcript is spliced from 9 exons. The record is from RefSeq and is a predicted model, not a curated record. Lineage: Eukaryota; Metazoa; Chordata; Actinopteri; Cichliformes; Cichlidae.